ACCAACACUAGAAGAUGAGGAGCUGACAUACCUGCGCAAGCUUGCACGUCCUUUGCCAACACAUUUUGCUCUAGGAUGAUUAAGUAUUAACUGCUUCCGGCACCCUUACCUUCUUAUGCAUACAUCACCUUAAUGUUCCACACAAAAUAAUGUAGAAGCACAAGAAAACUGGUUCUUCAGAUUCCUCGGUCCUCUGCAAUUUCUUUGCUACAAAAAAUAUGGCAGCUAGGAGGCAUUGCCAUUAUGCAUACAUUGGUGGCCUACCUCCGUCAAACUGAACCUGAGCAACGGGUUUUAGCGGCUAAUCUUCUCCUUCAAUUGGAUAUGCUGCAACAACUGAUAAAAUCAAAAAUUGGGCCAAGAGCUGCUGUUGUUGUGAGCGCGCGAUAGAAAAAGGAACGACGCCAUAGUUGAGCUAAGAGAAAAACAGGGCAAAAAAUUGGUGAACGACGCCAUAGUUAUAAAUUAAAGAAUGCAUUCACCUAACUCUUUACAACAUUUUUAAAAAUAGGUUGCAUGAUAAGAACAAAGGAAUUCGGACACAUUCAUGAAGGUAUACUGGUCUGAUUAUUAAUUUUAUGUUAGAUUUUCUCCACGUACUUGUACAGUCAAGCAAGAUUGAAGUUCCAAUUGGGCCUCUUCCCUCGGCGCCACUCUCCCGCUGCUCCUCCAACCCAAGUGCCGACAAAAUGGAGCUCGCCAAGGCACACUUCGUGGACGAGGAGGACCACCCACGACGAUGAACAUGUGUGACCUCACCCCCGAGCCUGACGAGCUCGGCAACGACAACAUCGUCAACCUUGAUCUCGAUGACACAGUUGAUCCCUAGCUUAGUGCCGACACCGAAGGGCAAGCCCGGCUUCUCUAGAGUUUGCAAAGGAGCUUUACGUUCAGGGCAUGGUUGUUUGCACAGAGUGGUGGACCCUACUUUGAUCCUUUGACAGAUAAUUCUUCAUAAUGUGAUAGUGUAUAGGUCUUCUUUCUGGGGACCUACUGCUCAACUACUGCACUCCUUGGCUGCUACCGACCAAAUUUUUUACAAAUCUUUCUACAUGUUUUGUUUCUAUAUAUUUACAAAUAUCCUAUCAAUCCAUUUUUAAAAUGUAUGGGCGCGGCAACGCACGCCUUUCAUGAUCUA
This is a long non-coding RNA of Hordeum vulgare subsp. vulgare (domesticated barley), 1138 nucleotides long. RefSeq lists it as uncharacterized. NCBI's taxonomy places the organism in Eukaryota, Viridiplantae, Streptophyta, Magnoliopsida, Poales, Poaceae. The transcript has 5 exons. The record is from RefSeq and is a predicted model, not a curated record.